CUCCUUUCUCUGUUCUAGACUUAUGUUAAGUAUUUUAUAGAAAAUGUCAUUCAGUUCACAAUGACACUUGGCGAAGUGAUGUUUAUUUUCUUUCCUUACAUAGAGAAUAAUGUUUUCAGCCAUGAAAUAGCUUUAGUUGGUAAAGCAGACAAAUAUACAAAUCUUUCUGAAUAUUUCUGCAAAGUUAUGAUCUUAUUCACUUAUAGACACAGAUUCUUCAAGAGUAUCACUAUCUGGAUGAUACUGAGUCAUUCAGAGACUUCAAGGAGUGGCCAUGAGGGAAAAGAGCAUGGGGAACUAUCUUACAGGAGUUAUCCAGGAAGCUUCAGUAUUGUGGCAUACCUAUAUAACUUAGACAAACUCAGAAAAAGCCAGUCUGCAAACAGUCUGUAUAUGGAUUGCAAUACCUCUGUCCAAUCCAGCUUGAACUUUCAUCCAAUUUCCAGGGAAACCUUCUCUAACUAA
Molecule: long non-coding RNA, 465 nt
Filed under: Cricetulus griseus (Chinese hamster)
Lineage: Eukaryota; Metazoa; Chordata; Mammalia; Rodentia; Cricetidae
Description: lncRNA (ENSCGRG00000025044.1)
Source: RNAcentral